This 253-nucleotide ribosomal RNA is filed under the name uncultured bacterium. RNAcentral describes it as "partial 16S ribosomal RNA". It matches the Rfam family "Bacterial small subunit ribosomal RNA", at positions 524 to 776 of the family's 1533-position model. The record is from RNAcentral.
UACGUAGGGUGCAAGCGUUGUCCGGAAUUAUUGGGCGUAAAGAGCUCGUAGGCGGUUUGUCGCGUCUGCUGUGAAAACGCGAGGCUCAACCUCGCGCCUGCAGUGGGUACGGGCAAACUAGAGUGCGGUAGGGGAGAUUGGAAUUCCUGGUGUAGCGGUGGAAUGCGCAGAUAUCAGGAGGAACACCGAUGGCGAAGGCGGAUCUCUGGGCCGUAACUGACGCUGAGGAGCGAAAGCGUGGGGAGCGAACAGG